CCAACUAUCAACUUUUUCAUACUUUUGCUAAAAACAUUUAUUAUUUGCUAACCUGCUUAAAAUGCUGCGGUCAGGUGGUUCUGUUGUGCCGUCAUGCCGGUGCCGUUGUGCCAUUGCAAUGCUCUACUCUGCCCUCUCUCACAAUUUAUUAAGUUUCCAACACAUAUGCAUAGAAAUUUCAAUCAAAGGUGACUGAAAUUGAAUUAAAUAAGAAAACUAAGAUUUGUUAACAUUGCUAAAUAAUAGAAAGAAUGAGCUUACCAGAAAAUAUAUUGUCAUAACUCCCACAUGUAUUUCUGGAAGUGUUUGUGCAACAUUUACAACCAUAAGCUUUCUUGCUUAACAAAUUCCCAAAUCAUAUAUGACUACAUUAUUCAUUAAUUAUAUUAACACAUAUAUAAAUAACCAUUUACGAUAAUGGGGAGAAACAAUAAUCAAAUUAUACCUGGAAAUUGAAUAACCCAUUCAUCGAAUAGAUCACCUGGACUCCAAGUUGGAUAAACUUCAAUCAAAUUCAAGGAAACUAUAGGUUGAAGCUUUCACCCAUGUCUGGAAAUCAAUAUUGAUAUUAGAGAAGUGAAAGUAUAAAAAAACUUUAUUUAGUCACCAAACAACUCUAAUAGUAACAAUUUUCUUGGGCUAUUCACGGAACACCUGUAUUAAACCCUCGUUUAUUCUAUGACAGCAAACAUGCUCCCAAAUUUAAAAAAAAAAAAUCCAAAUUCCUUCACCAGUAUUAUUCCACCAUUAAAUCUAAUUUGUAGAUAAACUACCAACAUAAUAUGUAUCGGUAAUUAAUAGCAUCGCAAUGAACAUGAUAUGAUUAAGAACCCUAAAUAAUUUUCAAAUUAUAUAACCCCCGAUUAAUUUUGAAAACAAAUCUAAUUUAGGGCUUUUACAACAAAAACCCGAAUGAAGAACUUAAAUGGCAAGAGAUAGAUCUUACUCAAAGCGAUUCAGUGCCAGGUGGUGGCGGAGGCGAGAUAAAGAAGUCGGAAUCGGCUGCUUCGUCGUAGUUAUUGGAGCGAGAGUGAGUGAGAGGAGAAGGGAGAGUGGGGAGAGAGG
RNAcentral lists this long non-coding RNA (1065 nucleotides) under Erythranthe guttata (spotted monkey flower). RNAcentral describes it as "long non-coding RNA (EGUT_LNC001288)". The record is from RNAcentral. Lineage: Eukaryota; Viridiplantae; Streptophyta; Magnoliopsida; Lamiales; Phrymaceae.